Molecule: ribosomal RNA, 253 nt
Filed under: uncultured bacterium
Lineage: Bacteria
Description: partial 16S ribosomal RNA
Rfam family: Bacterial small subunit ribosomal RNA
Source: RNAcentral
UACAGAGGGUGCGAGCGUUAAUCGGAAUUACGGGGCGUAAAGCGCACGUAGUCGGCUUUGCAAGCCGGUUGUGAAAUCCCCGGGCUCAACCUGGGAACUGCAUCCGGGACUGCAUUGCUAGAGUAUGGGAGAGGGAAGCGGAAUUUCUGGUGUAGCAGUGAAAUGCGUAGAUAUCAGAAGGAACAUCAGUGGCGAAGGCGGCUUCCUGGACCAAUACUGACGAUCAGGUGCGAAAGCGUGGGGAGCAAACAGG